This 4507-nucleotide long non-coding RNA is filed under the name Nicotiana tabacum (common tobacco). RNAcentral's name for it is "long non-coding RNA (NTAB_LNC009198)". The record is from RNAcentral. Lineage: Eukaryota; Viridiplantae; Streptophyta; Magnoliopsida; Solanales; Solanaceae.
UCAUGUAAUUCAACCAAGCAAGGCAAUUAAGUAUAUUUCUAUCCUAAUUGCAAAACUGUUCCCCGAUGCCUGAGUUCAAGAACUUUCUCUAUUUAAUUCUAUAUGAAAUCUAGAAUUCGCACUUUCGAGUUCAACUCUAGAUUCGAACGUCAACAUUCAUGUAGCACCCAAGACCCCAGAACAAUGGGGUUCUUAGCCACUCAUGUUCACACAAUCAUCAAAAAUAAUGUUUUCAAACAUAAAAUCAGUGAAUACUAGAAGAAGAAUGGAAGAAUUGAUCAAAUUCGUUCUCCCAAGUAUUUCGUACUUUUGUUUCUCUCUCAAAGUCACGUCCUUCCCCUCAAAAUAGGUUUAGGUUGGCUUUUAUAUGAGGUGGAGGCAUCUUGGGGUCGAAAUAACCGAGUCCCAAUCGAAAUAGGCCACUUCUGCGUCACCAGCACCCAGGGCAGUUUGGGGCGCUGGCCCUGCCGCUCAACCUCUUCAUCACACUAUUUUGUGCGCCACAGGUAGCGCCCCACGCUGCCUGUGGCGCUCAACUGGCCACUUUUGCAUUCUCUUCCCAUUUUUGCUCCAAUUCACGCACUUUCAUCCCAAAUCGCAUCUGAAUGAUUCCUACAUAUAGAAAUACCACAAAUUAGCACAAAUCAUUAUAUUACACAUCCGGAAUUACCAGACAUGAGCAUAAUGCGAGGCAAUAUACAUUAAAAUAUGCAUAUAUUAAGCCGAAUAUCACUUGUCACGACAAAAAAUCCUACCGCAGAGGUCGUGAUGGCGCCUAGUCUCUAAGACGAGGUAAGCCUACCACAUAGUAAUGUUAAUCAAAAUAUAACAACUUCAAAUUUACAAAAACUACGAAAUAUGAUAAUACUACCAACCGUGGGUACAAUAAUAAACUUCUCAAAACCUGGUAGUACUGAGUCAUAAGCCCUAAAUAGAAUACAUAUGAAGUCUAGAAGAGUAUGGUAUUCUAUGAAAUACAUAAACAUUAGAAAUAAAGUAAAUAUGGUGAAUCUGAGGCCAGCAAGCAGCACAAUAAGGAUACCUUGAAGUCUCCAAUAAAUGCAAGCACGCCUCCCUAGUGAAAAGCCUGAUUAGAAGUACCUGGAUGUGCACAAAAAUAUGCAGAAGCGUAGUACGAGUAUACCACAGUGGGUACAUAGUAAGUAUCAAAACUAACCUCGGUGAAGUAAUGACGAGGUUCAUGUAAUGUGAUACUCACUAGUCAAUUAACCUGUGCAAUAUAUCAAAGAAAAAUUGAAAACAAAAUAUAUAACAGAUACAAUAUCAACAACCUCUUAGAGCGUGUGAUAACAAGUCAAUGUGGAAAAAUUCAUCUUUGUCUACCAAACAUCAAAUUGAACUGGGGCAUGUGAAAGCAUGUCAAAUUCAACUAAAAACACAUAAGAAUUACAGGAUGUAAACUUUAAAGAAACUAGUAUGUGAUAAAAAUAUCAACCCCAUUUCAACACAUAAACAACAUCAAGUAAGUCACACCGAAAUAUUAUAUAACAUCAUCAGUAAUGUCAACCUUAUUUUGUCGCACGCACAUAACAAUGAAAUGCCUCCCUUAUUUCGUUGCAUGCGCAUAUCGCCACCCUUAUUUCGCCGCAUGCACAUAUCAAUGAAAUGUCUCACUUAUUUCGCCACAUGCGCAUACCACCACCCUUAUACUCCUCACAACAAAAUCAACUUGUACAACAUGUCCACAUAUGCCACAAUAUCCUAAAAAAAUAAUAUAAAAAUUUCAUCAAAAUGUGAGCUCACAACUCAACAACAAAGUCCACGAGGACAUCACAGUAACAUAAAAGUGUGGAGUGGUGUUCAACAAAUAAGUCAUAACUAUGGCUAAGUCGAAUGUAGCGAUCAUGAUCGUGUAGUCAAAAAAUGAUUAAGCAUGUUUCAUAUAUAAAAAAAACAACACCAAAUUAAAGCAUAUUAAUAGCCUAAGGCCUAAUACGGUCAUAAACCACACAUACGCCCAUGUACACGCUCGUCACCUCAUGUACACAUCGUCAUUCAUAUAACACAAAUAGGCAAUUAAGGCCAAAUCCUAAGAGGUUUUCCCCCACACAAAGUUAGGUAAGAUACUUACCUCAAACAAGCCAAUUUAAUACUCCAAAAAAGCUUUUCCAUUUAAAUUUACCUCCGACCUGCUCAAAACUAGAUAUAAAUGACUCAAUAAUAUCAAACAAUACUAAAAAAAUUAAUUCAAAAUAAUAAAGGCCCAAUCUUUACCCAAUUCUCGAAAAGUCAACAAAAGUCAACCCGGACCGCAUGGUUAAAAUCCGAGUCGAGAGGUAGAUCUCGACUACCCAUAACUCCACAAGUCCAAAUAUAUUAUUAGUUUUCAAAAUCGAGUCCCAAUCGAAUCUCAAAUCUAAAAUUUUCUUCUUAAACGUUGUCACAAAUCCCCAAAUAUUCCUUUGAAAUCCCAAUGUUUAGGUGUAAAAAUCCAUAAGAAAUGAAGUUAUAUUAUCAAAAUUGACUGAAAUUUACAUACCGAAUGGCUAUGUGUAAUCCUCCAUAAAUCGCCUCCCACCAAGUCUAUGGCUUAAAAUAUGAUAAAAGAAGGCUAAGUCCCGAAGUUCCCGUUUUAUGGCUCAGCUGCAGAAGUCACAUUUGCGACCUAUGGUUCACAAUUGUGAUCACCGAAAUUGCGACCCUUGGCUUCCAAAUGCAAAGCCUGCCAAGUCUUACAGAAGUCUCAAAUGCGAAACCUUGUCCGCAAUUGGGAACAAGUCCUGGCAAAGUCUCAUAGAUGUCACAAAUGCGACACCUUGUCUGCAAUUGGGAUCAAGGCUUGGCCAAAGCAAGAUCGUAAAUGCAGUCACAUAGUUCGCAAAAGCGAACAUCCCAACUCCCAACAAUCCUCGCAAUUGCGACACUGGCUCCACAAAUGUGAAGCCAAUCCACUCAGACACCAUCACAACUGCAAUAUGAAACUAACAAAUGCGAAGUCCGCAAAUGCAAAUAGAAUCUCACAUUUGCGAGACCUGUAGCACUUGCAACACUGCCCUCAACCCAAAAAUUAUCCGAAACACAUAUGAAACUCACCCGAGCCCCCGGGGCUCCACACUAACAAUCCACACAAGUAUAGAAACCUCAUAAAGCUCGGCCGAGAUCUCAAAAAACCAAAAUUACGUUCGCAACCAUGAAUCGAACACCAAAACACCUUAGAAUCACAAUGAAACCCAAGAACUUCUAAAUUCACAAUCAAGCAUCUGAUUCCUAUCAAACCAACUCGAAAGGAGACCAAACUUUGCACACAAGAUUCAAAUGACAAAACAGACCUAUUCCAGAUUUCAAGACCACAAUCCAAACUUGAUAGACAUAAAGCCACCCAUGGUCAAACUUAUGAAAUUUCUAAGCCUUCAAAUUGCCAACUUUCAGCAAAAAGAUCCAAUCAUCCUAGGAACCCCUGAAUUCAAUUCCGGCAUUUGUCUAAGUUAAAAAUCACCAUACGAAUCUAUUAGAAAUAUCAAAAUACCAUUUCCGGGUCAAUUUUCAUAAAAAGUCAAACUUGGUCAACACUUCUACCUUAAGAUUCGAAACUAUGAACUAGGUAUUCCAAUUCAAUCCAAAACAUUCCCGAAAGAAACCAUAUAUCCCCGCAAGUCAAAUAACAAUAAUUAUAUAUACAGAAAGUUUGAAAAGGGAAAUGAGGCUCAAAUACACAAAACGACUGGUCGGGUCGUUACCGGAAAGUUCACACCUCGUGUUGAAUAACAAACUAGGUCGAAGAGUCUAGAUUAUCAAGUGUUCUUCUCCUUGAACUCGAACUCAUACAGAAUUAGAAGGAAAUAGAGGAAGCAGGAGUCAGUGAGAAUUUAAUGUAGAACACCUUAUUUUGUAUAAAACUGAUGGCUAUUUAGUUGGUAUCAACUGGUGGAUGGUAGAGUAUUAACUCCAGCAAUUUAUAGUCGAAGAUUGACGGUCAUUUGAAAUUUAAAACUUAGAAUAUUCAGACUUCUUAUUAAGAAUCAUAAAAUCUAAGCGAUGACAAAAGACAAAAGAGGGGAAAGGAUUUACCUUCAGUUAUUGUUGACGAGAUAGGAGAGCCGUUGGGGUUCAAAACCUCUGGUUUUCCCCAUUGUUUUGAAGUAUGAACUUCUCGGUCGAAGUUAUGACCACUGGGUUUCACUGAGGUCAUAGAAUCUUGAGAUCUUCAACAUUGAAGGCAGAUCUCUUGAGUUGUUUUCUCGAUCAAGGACUACAUGUAAGGUAGUAGAGGUUCCUCGAUGGGGAUAUGGUCCUGGUGACGAGGGGUGGAGUAAUGGUAGUCCAGGUAGCAUCUUGUGGUGCUAGGGUUUUGUGGGUGGAAGAGGUGAGAGGGAAUGAGUUAAAGGAAAAAAGGAUCGACACGAUAUGCGGAUUGCGGCAUUGUCUUGAAUGGGAGAAAGGAGAGGGGAACGGCAGUCGGUGUAGCAUCGUUUGGUGAUAGGGUUUCAGGUAUUUACAAAGGUGAGAGAGACGAGAGAAAAGGGAAAUGGGGGGCAACUACUUUUGG